This is an RNA transcript of Malania oleifera, 3431 nucleotides long. It is a transcript of the gene named F-box protein At4g22280-like, with no coding region annotated. NCBI's taxonomy places the organism in Eukaryota, Viridiplantae, Streptophyta, Magnoliopsida, Santalales, Ximeniaceae. The record is from RefSeq and is a predicted model, not a curated record. The transcript is spliced from 10 exons.
AACCCAUAAAUUUCAUAUAGCCAAAUUCAUAUCACAGCCUCGGACGGAUCAUGGCAGGAGCUCCUCCGGCAGUCUAGCAGGUUCUCCCUCGACCCCGCCCUCAGCCUCAGCCUCUAUGGCUGAAGCUCCAUGUUCCACAAGCUCACAGCUGCUGAACCACAUCAUCGUUGUCAUCUUCUUCUUCUUGUUGCUCUCAUGCUUCCCUUGCCUCUCCUUUUCAUUUGUGCUUCUGUAGAUCUAUUUCAUUUAUGGAUUGACCCCCUGAACUGGAAGGUUUUGCCAAUUUUUCGACACCAAUUGAAGAAGAUCUGCCAAUCAAUCUUACAUUCUGGUACAAAUCGAUUUUUUUUUCGUCAUUUUUAAUUUUGUGCUUUGGGAGUUAGGGUUUCGAUCUCUCCACAGCAGAAGCUACAGCUACGCACGGGGUUCUUUUUUGUCCUUUCUUCUCUCAUGGUAGCUGAUCCUAAUCAUCUGUGAUUCCAUACUCAGAAAUCCUUCUGCAGGUCUCCACAAAUUUGUUUGGCUAUCCCUGUGUUGUAUUGUUGUGUGUUGCUGCAAUAACUCACUGUCCCUGAAUCGAUUCUCCUGGACAAACCUAGCUCCGAAAUUUCGAAGGAUUGAGCUGCUCCAUCCACACAAAUCAUGGAUUCGCCGCAGAAAUGCGAGAAGGUCCUUGAGGAUUCCGAGGAUAGAAUCAGCAACCUUCCAGACUCCGUUCUCUGUUACAUUCUCUCUUUUCUGCCCACAAAAGAUGCAGGCAGAACCAGCGUCUUAUCCACCCGGUGGAAGUACCUCUUCAUCUCCAGCCCUAAUCUCGACUUCGACGAUUCUUUCCGCCGUAAAGGGUCUCGUCAUAGAUUCGUGAAUUUCAUCUACGGAUUGUUGGCUUUGCGUGGUCCAUCGCAAAUGAAUCGAUUCCGUCUUAAAUGCGAUGUGUACCUCGAUGUUCCACAUGUUAAUACGUGGGUAUCUGCUGCUGUGCGCCGUAAUGUUCAAGAACUUGACAUUGACCUACAAAUGGCGCAUAAUACAGGAGGCACAAACUUGAGUUUGCUGCCGUACGACCUCUUCACUUGUAGAACGCUAGUUGUUCUAAAACUUGAUGUGGAUUAUGACCUCAAUGUUCCUAGUAACGUUUCUUUACCACGUCUGAAGACCCUGCAUCUUCAAUAUCUGUCUCUUCAGUAUGACUCCUUUAAGAGAAUGUUAUCCGGCUGUCCUGUGCUUGAAGAUUUGCUUACAUGUGACUGUAGGUUUGAGGGGGUACAAAUUUUUGAUAUUUCAGUUUCUACGCUUAAAAGGCUUGCUUUGCUCUAUGCUCAAGUUGGCAACUUGGCGGAAGUAGUGAUUGAUGCUCCAUAUCUUCAAUACCUACGCUAUGAAGAUGAUAUGGUGAGAAAAGGCUAUACUUUGAAGGGGCUAACAUGUCUAGUUGAAGCUCAUUUAUGCAUUGAACUGAGUGCGCAGCAAGAGACUGAACAAAAUUUGUUAUUCUAUGCUCCUCCUGUUGCCAAAAUUUUUGAAGCAGUCUCUAAGGUGGUGUCUCUUCAUUUAACUGGAUAUUCUGUGUCGGUUCUUGAAGUCAUCCAACGUUCUGUGCCUACAUUUCCUAACUUGAUCCGUUUGGAGGUUGAUUCCCAUAAUGAUACUGGAUUGGAAAUGCUGGCUGAAUUACUUCGCUGUUCACCUAAUCUUGAGGUGCUAGUAGUUGGACAUGUUUAUAAAGAUGUUGGGAGUUUGACGAGUUUCCGAAUAUUUACUGGUUAUCUGUCAUUACGUCUUAAGGAAGUUGAACUGCAUGAAUUCACUGGGAGCGAACAUGAACUAGAGGUAGUAGAGUAUUUAUUAGAGAGUGCAGAGUCUUUGGAGAAGAUGACAAUUGGAAUUCCUUCCUCCAGGAGGAAACCACAUAUCAGCAAAAAAUUAUUAACAUUUCCAAGGCGGUCGAGGACUUGUCGCAUCUUCGUCACUGGAAAAAGAAACAGAAGAUAUUUGUCUGAUAUUAUGUGAUUGAAGCAGAGUAAGAGAAGUUGCUUAAUUACCACAAUGAAGCAAAUGAGAAGAAACUGCUACAGUGCUAGAGAAUGUUUGUUUUGGAGCUGCCUGAUACUCUCCUGCAACAGCCCCGAUCCUUCAUGCUAGAGCGAUUCUCUCCGAAAAAGACGACGAUGAAAAUCUGUAACAAUUCUCUCAUCAAGAAUCAGAUUUCAUGUGUGGGAGAAGAAUAUGAGUAUCCCUCUUGACUUAGCUGGAAGAAGAAUGUGAGUAUCCUUGUUGACUUAGCUAACAUGUAGUUACAGCUGACAGCUACGCCUGCUGUGGCCUCUGCUGAAGUACACAGUUUACUUGCAAACAACUUAAAAGGUAAAGGAACAGAAGCUUAUAUCUCAGUUUCUUGAAGUCAUGUCCUACCGUCUUUUUCUUGUACCCCCUUUCCACAUGAAUUAAACCCUUUCCAAAAGUGAAACAAUAAGGCCCAGUUUGGAGCUCAGAAUAUAUUAUGGGAAGGGACUCCAGCCACCACCGCACCACUUUGUGAUCGGUGGUGUGGCACCAAAACUGGGGGCAGCCUAACACACCCCAAUGCCGGCCACCUGAUAAAUCACGUGUCUCCAAAGGCAGCAGCGGGUUUCAAACCCUCGACCAUCCGGUGUGGAAGAAGAAUAUGAGUAUCCCUCCUGACUUAGCUAACAUGUAAUUACAGCUGACAGCUACCCCUGCUGUGGCCUCUGCUGAAGUCUACUAAUAUAUUUACACGGUUUACUUGCAGACAAAUUAAAAGGAAUAAAUAAAUUAAAGUAGUCAUGGGGUAAGGAGGAAACCUUCCUUUUCAAAUUCAAAGUCCCUUCAUCAAGAUUCCUUUUCAAACUCAAAUUCUUCUCUCGAAUUUCUUGACACGCCCUUCAGUAUUUGAAGCAUAACUUUUGCUAAAGAACUCCAAAAAGGGUGAUCUGGGUAUCUAUGGAAAGUUAAGAAAAAAUCUCACAACUUUUGUGUUGAAGAUUUUUAAAGAUGGAAGAUCUCGAUAGAGAAAAUCGCACAUCAAGGUCGCGGCAUAAAAGAAGGGAAUUUGGAGAAUCUUAUUUUGGGGAGAUAAGAAGGGAGGACGAUCAGAGCUUUAUAGAAGGAGGAGAUUCGAAGAUAAAAAAAUAAGGAAGAGAAUUUUCUUCACCAUUAGAGAGGGGAAUUCAAAGCUUGGAAAAGAAGAAGAGAGAGGCCGAAUUGGAGUUGUUGAUGAUUGAGAUUCUUAAUCUACAUACAGUUUCCUUUUUAAUUAUUUUAUCUUCUCUUUGUACAAUUUUCAUUAUGAAUUUUAGAAUUAUUUUGGUUUGUUUUGAUUCUAUAAUGAGCUAAUUGUUAUUGCUAAGGUUACGAUGUAACCUCUCCAUGACAAUUCCGAAUCUUAUUUCUAUGUGAUCAUAAUUUUAUCA